RNAcentral lists this unclassified non-coding RNA (883 nucleotides) under Hevea brasiliensis (rubber tree). Lineage: Eukaryota; Viridiplantae; Streptophyta; Magnoliopsida; Malpighiales; Euphorbiaceae. The record is from RNAcentral.
GAAUUUUAUCCAUCUUCCACCAAGUUUGGAACUCUAAAUCCACCCUCUAUAUAUAUAUUCUCUUUAACGUUCAAUGGGGGGGAUAAUUUUUUGGGGGGAGAUUUUAGUCUAGAGAAUUCUUGGAUAUAAAAAAAAUUAAAGAGAUUUAGUUUGGUCUUUGGUGAAGAGAACCUGUUGAGUACUUGAAAAAGAUCGAGAGAAUAGUCAAUUCUGGUCCUGUUUUCUCUUUUUCAUUUUGCUGCCAAAGCUCUUCAUUUUGUACGAGUUUUUGUUCUUUGUUCGGGUUUGUGUUGGUGUGGAAGUUUCCGCCCUUUCAAGAUCGUUCGUCUCCCAGUCGCUGGGGAGAAAGUCCAUUUGGACUCCAUUUCCCUCCUCGCAUACCUUGUUUGAGACACAUAGGCUCAAACCUUUACCCCAAGUCGGUCAUACCCCUCUCGAAACUGCUGGACAGGUUAAGAGCAGCAUUACACUGCUGGAAAUUAGUUUUCCAGCCCCGGAAGGUCAAAGAACAGGCUGAUAUAUCUGAUUUAUACAAUAAUAUACAAUCAAAAAAAAUGAUAUACAGGUCAAAACGUUCUACUACAGGAUAAAAAAGCAAAAAAUACGAAAAUCCUUAUAAACUACAGGUUUUGGAGUCCGAGAAUCAAUGAUAUACAUGGUGUAUACGCCAAAUAUACACUUUUUGUAUACCAUGGUAAAUGAGAAUGAAAGGGGACUGAGAGCCCAAGAAGAAAUUCCAAUAACAUUUGAACAGGCCCAAACAAUUUUGGGUCACUUUUAGGGUAGGACAGGUCAUUGAAUUUGGAAUUUGGGCUAAAAGCACAAGUUCAAUAUCUCUAUUUUCUAAUUCUACUCCCUUUUAUUGUAUUUUGACUAACUUUCU